AGCAGCCGCGGUAAUUCCAGCUCCAAUAGCGUAUAUUAAAGUUGUUGCAGUUAAAAAGCUCGUAGUUGAAUUUCGGGACUAAUAUGUCGGUCGUGCCUCGGUACGAACUGGUUUUAUUGGUUUCUCCUUUCUGAAGAACCAUGAUGUCAUUUAUUUGGUGUCGUGGGGAAUCAGGACUGUUACUUUGAAAAAAUUAGAGUGUUUAGAGCAGGCUCACGCUUGAAUACAUUAGCAUGGAAUAAUGAAAUAGGACGUUUGAUCCUAUUUUGUUGGUUUCUAGGAUCGACGUAAUGAUUAAUAGGGAUAGUUGGGGGCAUUAGUAUUCAAUUGUCACGAGGUGAAAUUCUUGGAUUUAUUGAAGACUAACUACUGCGAAAGCAUUUGCCAAGGAUGUUUUCAUUAAUCAAGA
RNAcentral lists this ribosomal RNA (409 nucleotides) under uncultured Glomeromycotina. RNAcentral's name for it is "SSU rRNA". It matches the Rfam family "Eukaryotic small subunit ribosomal RNA", at positions 569 to 982 of the family's 1831-position model. Lineage: Eukaryota; Fungi; Glomeromycota. The record is from RNAcentral.